Molecule: ribosomal RNA, 254 nt
Filed under: uncultured bacterium
Lineage: Bacteria
Description: partial 16S ribosomal RNA
Rfam family: Bacterial small subunit ribosomal RNA
Source: RNAcentral
UACAGAGGUCUCAAGCGUUGUUCGGAUUCAUUGGGCGUAAAGGGUGCGUAGGUGGCGGGGUAAGUCAGGUGUGAAAUCUCGGGGCUCAACCCCCGAAACUGCACUUGAUACUGCCUUGCUUGAGUACUGGAGAGGAGAUUGGAAUUUACGGUGUAGCAGUGAAAUGCGUAGAUAUCGUAAGGAAGACCAGUGGCGAAGGCGACACACUGGCCCGUUACUGACGCUGAGGCGCGAAAGCGUGGGGAGCAAACAGG